GUGCCAGCCGCCGCGGUAAGACGAACCGUGCAAACGUUAUUCGGAAUCACUGGGCAUAAAGGGCGCGUAGGCGGCUUUCUAAGUCAGGGGUGAAAUCCGGCAGCUCAACUGUCGCAGUGCCUUUGAUACUGGAGAGCUCGAGGGAGGUAGGGGUCUGUGGAACUUCCGGUGGAGCGGUGAAAUGCGUUGAUAUCGGAAGGAACGCCGGUGGCGAAAGCGACGGACUGGAUCUCUUCUGACGCUGAGGCGCGAAAGCCAGGGGAGCAAACGGGAUUAGAUACCCUGGUAGUCC
Molecule: ribosomal RNA, 292 nt
Filed under: uncultured bacterium
Lineage: Bacteria
Description: partial 16S ribosomal RNA
Rfam family: Bacterial small subunit ribosomal RNA
Source: RNAcentral